AUGGCCCUCCCAAGAGAGAAGCAGGCGUUGGCGCUGUGCAGGCCGUCCAUGGCGAUGGAGACGCCCGGACAGGAAGGGCUCAAUCCGGAUGAACCAGCCCGCACCGAGCCCGGCCGCCUCAACAAGAGCUCGUCUCUCUGCUUGCCUGCGGCUCACCGGAGCCGCCAUCGCCGGCGACCGCCUCCCUCACCUUGUGCCCCUUCUCCUUCGCCUUUCUUCCUCUCUUCCCCGAGGAGCGGGGAGCCGACGAAUCCGUCGGUCAGGAGCUGGGCGGCGCCCUCCAUCAUCGUGGCCGUUUGGGGAGGGACGCGGUCCUGGUCGAUGCGGUGUGGGGCGGGCGACGUAGGGCAAGAGGUGGCGGCGGGAUGGAGGUACAUGCGAUGGGGCACCGGCAAACAGAGGCGGGCGGCGGAGGUGCUGCAGGAGCGGCGCUCGACCGCGAGGUGA
Molecule: ribosomal RNA, 447 nt
Filed under: Triticum aestivum (bread wheat)
Lineage: Eukaryota; Viridiplantae; Streptophyta; Magnoliopsida; Poales; Poaceae
Description: partial small subunit ribosomal RNA
Source: RNAcentral